RNAcentral lists this ribosomal RNA (505 nucleotides) under uncultured bacterium. Its description in RNAcentral is "partial 16S ribosomal RNA". It matches the Rfam family "Bacterial small subunit ribosomal RNA", at positions 28 to 507 of the family's 1533-position model. The record is from RNAcentral.
GACGAACGCUGGCGGCGUGCCUAAUACAUGCAAGUAGAACGCACAGUUUAUACCGUAGCUUGCUACACCAUAGACUGUGAGUUGCGAACGGGUGAGUAACGCGUAGGUAACCUGCCUGGUAGCGGGGGAUAACUAUUGGCAACGAUAGCUAAUACCGCAUAAUAUUGAUUAUUGCAUGCUAAUUGAUUGAACGAUGCUAUUGCAUCACUACCAGAUGGACCUGCGUUGUAUUAGCUAGUAGGUGAGGUAACGGCUCACCUAGGCGACGAUACAUAGACGACGUUUGAGGGUGAUCGGCCACACUGAGACCGAGACACGGCCCAGACUCCUUCGGGAGGCAGCAGUAGGGAAUCUUCGGCAAUGGACGAGAGUCUGACCGAGCAACGCCGCGUGAGUGUAGAAGGUUUUCGGAUCGUAAAGCUCGGUUGUAAGAGAAGAACGGGUGUGAGAGUGGAAAGUUCACACUGUGACGGUAUCUUACCAGAAAGGGACGGCUAACUACGUG